GCACCAAACGAGGCGAUAUCAAAAAAAGUAAGAUGACUGUGCGAAGGUGGCGGAAUUGGUAGACGCGCUAGCUUCAGGUGUUAGUGU
Molecule: transfer RNA, 87 nt
Filed under: Escherichia coli K-12
Lineage: Bacteria; Pseudomonadati; Pseudomonadota; Gammaproteobacteria; Enterobacterales; Enterobacteriaceae
Description: tRNA-Leu
Source: RNAcentral